GAUGAACGCUGGCGGCGUGCUUAACACAUGCAAGUCGAACGGAAAGGCCCCUGCUUGCAGGGGUACUCGAGUGGCGAACGGGUGAGUAACACGUGGGUGAUCUGCCCUGCACUUCGGGAUAAGCCUGGGAAACUGGGUCUAAUACCGGAUAGGACGAUGGUUUGGAUGCCAUUGUGGAAAGUUUUUCGGUGUGGGAUGAGCUCGCGGCCUAUCAGCUUGUUGGUGGGGUAAUGGCCUACCAAGGCGUCGACGGGUAGCCGGCCUGAGAGGGUGUACGGCCACAUUGGGACUGAGAUACGGCCCAGACUCCUACGGGAGGCAGCAGUGGGGAAUAUUGCACAAUGGGCGCAAGCCUGAUGCAGCGACGCCGCGUGGGGGAUGACGGCCUUCGGGUUGUAAACUCCUUUCGCUAGGGACGAAGCGCAAGUGACGGUACCUGGAGAAGAAGCACCGGCUAACUACGUG
RNAcentral lists this ribosomal RNA (465 nucleotides) under uncultured bacterium. RNAcentral's name for it is "partial 16S ribosomal RNA". It matches the Rfam family "Bacterial small subunit ribosomal RNA", at positions 28 to 507 of the family's 1533-position model. The record is from RNAcentral.